GUAAGGAAUAUUGGUCAAUGGGCGCAAGCCUGAACCAGCCAUGCCGCGUGCAGGAAGACGGCCCUAUGGGUUGUAAACUGCUUUUGUCAGGGAAUAAACCCCCGCUCGUGAGUGGGGCUGAAGGUACCUGAAGAAUAAGCAUCGGCUAACUCCGUGCCAGCAGCCGCGGUAAUACGGAGGAUGCAAGCGUUAUCCGGAUUCAUUGGGUUUAAAGGGUGCGCAGGCGGAUUGGUAAGUCAGGGGUGAAAUCCCACAGCUCAACUGUGGAACUGCCUUUGAUACUGUCAGUCUAGAGUAUAGUUGAAGUGGGCGGAAUGUGUCAUGUAGCGGUGAAAUGCUUAGAUAUGACACAGAACACCGAUCGCGAAGGCAGCUCGCUAAGCUAUAACUGACGCUCAUGCACGAAAGCGUGGGGAUCAAACAGGAUUAGAAACCCUAGUAGUCC
Molecule: ribosomal RNA, 445 nt
Filed under: uncultured bacterium
Lineage: Bacteria
Description: partial 16S ribosomal RNA
Rfam family: Bacterial small subunit ribosomal RNA
Source: RNAcentral